Molecule: long non-coding RNA, 483 nt
Filed under: Sorghum bicolor (sorghum)
Lineage: Eukaryota; Viridiplantae; Streptophyta; Magnoliopsida; Poales; Poaceae
Description: long non-coding RNA (SBIC_LNC004566)
Source: RNAcentral
GUGGUAUUUCUGGAUCCUUACCAAGGCAGUAAUGGUGUAUGCCUUCUCUCAAAGUAUGUGGUAUUUUUGGUAUAAGGCAUAGUGGCAUUGCCUUCUCUCUCACCCUACUCUAAUAAGGUUUUGAUAUCUAGAGCUCAUAGGUGGGAGACAGCUAAUACAUACUUACAAGACAUUUAUUGCAUAGUCAAACCAUGGAUCUAGAAGAACAAGUCAAUAAGUCAAAUCAAGAUGUGCAUGUGUGGUGAAUGAAUGGUGUAUGGUGAUGAUGGUGAUAACAAUGGUGAAAGUCUAAUUCUACUUGUGCUCUUUUGAGGGAUACAUACCUUUCUUGCUCUUUUGAAACUUUUUGAGGAGAAUGAGAUGCUCUAUAUUUUCUUUUUCUUUCUCUCAGGUGGGUAUCUUGUACCCCUAAUUCUACUGUCGGACACUUGUCCAUUUUUACCUCUCGUCUCACUUUUUUCUUCUUUCGAGGUUCCGGGCACG